ACGAGCCUGGUCGUGGCGUUGCUGGUCGGCUACCGCCCGGUCCGGGCCGGCGCGCUGCUCUCGGCCGCCGGGGUGCUGGUCGCCGCGCUCGUAC
RNAcentral lists this transfer RNA (94 nucleotides) under Phytohabitans flavus. Its description in RNAcentral is "tRNA-Gly". Lineage: Bacteria; Bacillati; Actinomycetota; Actinomycetes; Micromonosporales; Micromonosporaceae. The record is from RNAcentral.